Eucalyptus grandis is the source of this 3020-nucleotide RNA transcript. It is a transcript of the gene named protein FAR1-RELATED SEQUENCE 1, with no coding region annotated. The record is from RefSeq and is a predicted model, not a curated record. NCBI's taxonomy places the organism in Eukaryota, Viridiplantae, Streptophyta, Magnoliopsida, Myrtales, Myrtaceae. The transcript has 6 exons.
CAUUUUUGGAGCUGGGGCUUAGAGUUUCCUUCCAUGUCCGAUCCUUCUCUCUUUCUGGUCGAACGGAGAAGACCGGAUAUCGAGGCGGUGCCACCGUGAAGGUCACCGGAAGCGGGACGGUCGAGCGUCGCCGCCGUCGUUCUAGGGGUGCCAAUUGCCUCUCCAGCUUCUUCUCUCUCUCAGGAGCCCCAGUACCAGGAUGGGAGAUAAUAUGGAACCAGAGAAUGCAAGCAAGGAGAUAGCAGAAGAAGAUGACGAUGCCCAUCUUCGCCACUCAAUACACAAUCUCCCCAAAAAUUUCGAGUUUAAAGUGGGGAUGGUCUUUUCAAGUGAACUUGAAGCAUAUCACACGUAUGUGGCAUAUGCAUUACGUAAGGGAUUUGGAAUUCGGAAGGGUAAUAAAGUUAGAAAUUCCAAAGGAGAAAUCACUCGGCGUACAUUUUUGUGUAAUUGUGAGGGUUUCUCUUGCACUCCACCCUACCAGCAAAAAAAGAUGGAAAGGACUGAGAUUAGGUGUGGCUGUCAAGCGCAUAUUAAAUUUAAGGUUGAAAAUGGUGUUCAUGAAAUCAUAGAGUACAAACCUGAGCAUAACCAUGCAUUUCUUCCGGAAAAUCAAAGGCAUCUGAUCAGAUGUGGAAGGAUAGUUUCUGAUCCAAGUAAAGGUGUCUUAGCUGACAUGGCAAAAGCUGGCAUUGUAAAUUUCAGGUCAUUUAACUUGGAAAAUGAAGAUGGAGCAAGUAGAAAUUUGGGGUUUAGUUUGCGUGGUAGCCAUAAUUUCUUGCCAACUCAAAGUUCAAGCAUCGCGAGGGGGGAAGAUUGGCAAAACCUCUUGAAUCAUUUCAUGUGCAUGCAGAUGCAAAAUCCUAUGCUUUUCUAUGCUGUACAAGUGGAUCAAGACGGUAAAUUGACAAACCUAUUUUGGAGAGAUAGUUUGUCUAAAUUCGAUUAUGAUUGUUUUGGUGAUGUGGUGAUGCUUGAUACCACAUAUCACGUUAGCAAAUAUAACAUGAUAUGUGCACCAUUUUUAGGGGUUAAUCAUCAUUGGAAGAAUACCUUGUUUGGGUGCGCUCUCCUGUUAGAUGAGACAGUAAAUUCAUUUAUAUGGCUAUUUGAGACGUUUUUGGAGGCAAUGGGAAACAGAGCGCCUAGAACAAUUUUCACUGACCAAGACCAAGCUAUAGAAAAAGCUGUUGAAAAGGUGUUUCCGAAUGCACAACAUUGUGUAUGCACAUCACAAAUUGCAAAAAAUGCUGCUAAAAAGAUCCCCAAUCUUUAUGAGAAGCCUGAGUUUAGGGAUAGAUAUUUCUCAAAACUACUGUAUGGAUGUGAAACAGAGUCUGUAUUCGAAUCCACUUGGAAGGAAAUGGAAGAGGAAUGGGGCACUAAGGACAACUCUUGGCUUAACAGACUAUAUGAAUCAAGAAAUAAAUGGAGUGCGGCCUUUGGUCGGGGCAUAUUUUCAUGUGGUAUCAGAUCAACUCAGAGGAGUGAGGGCACAAAUGAUAUCUUCCGGCUGAUGCCUGCUAAUAGCAUGGACCUUAUUGGAUUUGUCCACCACUAUGAACAACAGUUAAAAUAUAUAAGGGAGAUUGAAGUUCGAGAUGAUCACAGUUCUAGAGGUAAGCCAGAAUUGGUUGUGUCAAAUAAUGCGAUUUUGACACAUGCUGCAGUGGCAUACACUCGUACCAUAUUUUCCAAGUUUUAUGAGGAAUUUUUGCAAAGUAUGUCAGAACGAGUUUUGGAUUGUAGUUGUGAUGGGGCAGUCUCUGAAUAUACUCUAGUUUGCCAUGGGAUUCAAGGGAAAAAUGUUGUGAAAUUCGAUUCUGUUAAUUUUUCAGUCUCUUGUGGAUGUAAAUUAUUUGAAUCAAGUGGGUGGUUGUGCCGUCAUGCUUUGUAUGUACUUAAUGGGAAUAUUAAGGUUACAAAAAAUCCCAUCAGCUUAUGUUUUAAAGAGAUGGACUAAGGGUGCCAAGGAUUGUAUUGUGCAUGAUGACUCUCCACAAGUGUCACCAUGUUCAUCAAAGAUUAGUCGUUAUUCCACACUGAUGCGAAAAGCUUUUGCUGUAAUGAGCUUGGCUGCCGAAGAUGAAGAUACUAUGAGAAUUGCAAUGCAAAAUUUGGACAAGAUGGUGGAGGAAAUUUUAAGGCACAAAUCCAAUCUUUUGACCAAAGAUGGUGAAGUUAACAGCGAUAGGUUUGUGAAUGCCAAUGAGGUUUCUUACUCCAUUAGCGAGACAUCAAUAACAGAUCACCCUCGAAGGAAAGCGAAGGGAGUAACAGGUGAUGGGGUUGAGAGUAAGUUGGAGAAAAAAAAAAGGAAAAAAUCAUCCAAAGGAGCAACCUCAACCGCAAUACAGAGUCGAGGUGAUUGAGCUGGUUGUUGGCGCUACUCUGGACGAAGCCCAUUUACUGACUCAUUUGGCACAUUCACAUCAGCUGUCAAGUGUCUUUUCUCCUUGCAAUUUUGGGGGUCCUACUACAAAUCCAAGUCUUAAUAAUGGGGUGUACUGAGCGAGAGAUCAGCAAACUCUUAUGAGUAUCCUGGCAGAAAUGUGGCCAGUGAAUCUCAAGGAACUAACAUGGAAGGGUUACAAGGUGAUUAAUCCAUUGCGAGAGGCAAAGUAAAUAUGGUUUUUUGGGUAUGGAAGAUCUAACUUCGAUACAUGUCUAGUGUAUCUCCAUACAAUUAAGAUUAAAUUUGUGCAUGGAAUGUUGAUUGUAUAUAUCAGUACUAUGUGUGCUGGUUUAUCUUCACAUAUUGUGGAGUAUAUUACUGUAGACCCUCUGUCGUGGUGUCAUCCCUAUUUUGAGUGCUUCACAGGGAUCCUACGCUUUAUAACUUUUUUGGUCAUCCUACUAUGUUACCACUGAUGGACUCCCUUGGAGAAUCUAAUUGUAAGAGAGACUAGUUACACUAAUUGUUAAGUUAGGAUUCAUUCGUUUGUGAUGGUGCAGUUCUUGUGUUCUAUUUAAGAUUACUUUAUUUCUUUCUAUGUAACGAGAUAUUUUUUCUUGUGCAA